ACGAACGCUGGCGGCGUGCUUCACACAUGCAAGUCGAACGAUGAAGAAAAGAAUCGAAGCUUCGGCAGAAAUUCAUUUCGGAUUAGUGGCAGACGGGUGAGUAACGCGUGAGCAACCUACCUCUUACAAAGGGAUAGCCUCGGGAAACCGGGAUUAAUACCAUAUAACAUUGCGACGAAGCAUUUCGAUGCAAUCAAAGCUACGGCGGUAAGAGAUGGGCUCGCGUCCCAUUAACCGGAUGGUGAGGUAACGGCUCACCAUAGUGACGAUGGGUAACCGGCCUGAGAGGGUGAACGGUCACACUGGAACUGAGACACGGUCCAGACUCCUACGGGAGGCAGCAGUGGGGAAUAUUGCACAAUGGAGGGAACUCUGAUGCAGCGACGCCGCGUGAGUGAUGAAGGAAUUCGUUUCGUAAAACUCUGUUCUAUGGGAAGAAAAGGACUGUACCAUAGGAGAAAGCGCCGGCUAAAUACGUG
RNAcentral lists this ribosomal RNA (479 nucleotides) under uncultured bacterium. Its description in RNAcentral is "partial 16S ribosomal RNA". It matches the Rfam family "Bacterial small subunit ribosomal RNA", at positions 29 to 507 of the family's 1533-position model. The record is from RNAcentral.